AUACGUAGGGGGCGAGCGUUGUCCGGAAUGAUUGGGCGUAAAGGGCGCGUAGGCGGCCCGGUAAGUCUGGAGUGAAAGUCCUGUUUUUAAGAUGGGAAUUGCUUUGGAUACUGUCGGGCUUGAGUGCAGGAGAGGUAAGUGGAAUUCCCAGUGUAGCGGUGAAAUGCGUAGAGAUUGGGAGGAACACCAGUGGCGAAGGCGACUUACUGGACUGUAACUGACGCUGAGGCGCGAAAGUGUGGGGAGCAAACAGGAUUAGAUACCGUGGUAGUCCACACUGUAAACGAUGAAUGCUAGGUGUAGGGGGUAUCGACCCCUUCUGUGCCGCAGUCAACACAAUAAGCAUUCCGCCUGGGGAGUACGGCCGCAAGGUUGAAACUCAAAUGAAUUGACGGGG
This 397-nucleotide ribosomal RNA is filed under the name uncultured bacterium. RNAcentral describes it as "partial 16S ribosomal RNA". It matches the Rfam family "Bacterial small subunit ribosomal RNA", at positions 523 to 918 of the family's 1533-position model. The record is from RNAcentral.